Long non-coding RNA from Astatotilapia calliptera (eastern happy), 385 nucleotides. The record is from Ensembl. NCBI's taxonomy places the organism in Eukaryota, Metazoa, Chordata, Actinopteri, Cichliformes, Cichlidae.
AAAAUUGUGUAUCAGCACAUCUCUCUCUCUUUGAGGAAAAAAAAUUAGAAGGGGGAAACCCAAAAAGUAACACACACACACACACACACACACACACACACACACACACACACACACACACACACACACACACACACACACACACACACACACACACACGCUUCCUAUUCCACUUUUCCCUGAACCUUUUCCUUCUUCCAUUCAGCCUCCUCAGAGAAACGGGCGCUCAGCAUCAUCAGCAUCCAGUGACGACGUCCAUGAGGAGAUGAAGGUGAGCCAGCCUUUCUGAUCAAAGCACCCGUCUAUAAAGCUCAAGGCUGGCCUUCCUCGGUGGGGAUGUCAACACAUCUACUUCUAAGUCGAGGCAGAGGGAUGGGAAAAGGAG